AUGCAAUAAAAUGCACCAUGAUUCUAUUGAAAAAAAUACAGAGAAAAUUAACAUAGCCCCUGCAUAAGGAUGACACACAAAUUCAUGAAGCAUUUCACAAAGAU
Molecule: small nuclear RNA, 104 nt
Filed under: Carlito syrichta (Philippine tarsier)
Lineage: Eukaryota; Metazoa; Chordata; Mammalia; Primates; Tarsiidae
Source: RNAcentral